GCAGGCCCGGGGGGAGCGGCGCCCUCACGGCCCCCGGAGCUCCGGCCGCGCUGCCCUCAGAGCUCCGGCCGCGCUGCCCUCAGAGCUCCGGCCGCUCUGCCCGCGGAGCUCCGGCCGUGCUGCCCUCAGAGCUCCGGCCGCGCUGCCCUCAGAGCUCCGGCCGUGCUGCCCGCGGAGCUCCGGCCGUGCUGCCCUCAGAGCUCCGGCCGUGCUGCCCUCAGAGCUCCGGCCGCUCUGCCCGCGGAGCUCCGGCCGCGCUGCCCGCGGAGCCCCGGCCGCUCUGCCCGCGGAGCUCCGUCCGUGCUCAUCAGCGGGGCCGGAGCGGCUGCGCGCCGGCAUCCCUCAGCACACCCGGGAGGGCUCUCAGCGCACCCACGAGAGUUCCAGCACCCUCAGCACACCCGGGAGGGCUCUCAGCACACCCAUGAGGAUUGCAGCGCACCCACGAGGGUUCCAGCACCCUCAGCACACCCGGGAGAGGCUCCAGCACCCUCAGGACACCCAGGAGGGUUCCAGCACCUUCAGCACACCUGGGAGGGGUUUCAGCACCCGUAAGGGGUUCCAGCACCCUCAGCGUCCAUAAGGGGUUCCAGCACCCUCAGCACACCCAUGAGGGUUCCAGCACCCUCAGCACACCCAUGAGGUGUUCCAGCACCCUCAGCACACGCAUGAGGUGUUCCAGCACCCUCAGCACACCCAUGAGGGUUCCAGCACCCUCAGCACACCCAUGAGGGUUCCAGCACCCUCAGCACACCCAUGAGGUGUUCCAGCACCCUCAGCACACCCAUGAGGGUUCCAGCACCCUCAGCACACCCAUGAGGUGUUCCAGCACCCUCAGCACACACAGGAGAGGUUCCAGCACCCUCAGCACACCCAUGAGGGUUCCAGCACCCUCAGCACACCCAUGAGGUGUUCCAGCACCCUCAGCACACCCAUGAGAGUCCCAGCACCCUCAGCAAGACCUAGGAUGGCUUCCAGCCUCCUCAGCAGACCCAUGAUGGGCUUUGGAGCCCUCAGCAAACAACACCAUGAGGGCGUUCAGACCCCUCAGACGACCCUGAAGGGUUUGGACCCCUCAGCAAACCCUGUGAGAGGUUUAAGACCCCUCACCAAAACCAUGAGGGAUUUCAGGACCCUCAUCCCGCCCAGCACUCAGCAAACCCUGUGAGGGUUUUCGCGUGCCCUCAAACCAAGAUCAGAUGCCAUGACGUGUUACAGCCGCCGCAGCACUUACCUGAGGGGCUUCAGGUCCUGCAGACUCUCCAUGGGUUUCGCGACCCUCUGCCAUCAUCGCAUUCCGUGAGGGGAUUUCGGCUCCCAUAGACCCUCCAAUGGUUUCUCGCGCUCCCGGCCCUCAGCGAUCCCGUGGGGGCCUGAGCUCGCCCCUCGUCCCCAUGAGGGGGCUCGUGCCACUCCGCCAUGAGGGUCUUCCCGCCACUCCGCCAUGAGGGAGUUCUCGCCACUCUGCCAUGAGGGGGCUUCCCGUCACUGCACUCUGAGGGUCUUCCCGCCACUCCGCCAUGAGGGAGUUCUCGCCACUCCGCCGUGAGGGAGCUCGUGCCACUCGUCCUGAGGGGGCUCGUGCCACUCCGCCGUGAGGGAGCUCGUGCCACUCGUCCUGACGGGGCUCGUGCCACUCGUCCUGACGGGGCUCGUGCCACUCGUCCUGAGGGGGCUCGUGCCACUCGUCCUGAGGGAGCUUGGUGCCAUUCCGCCGUGAGGGAGCUUCCGGCAGUCCACCCUGAGGGGGCACGCACCACUCCGCCGUUAGGGGCUCGCACCACCCCGCCGUGAGGGGGUUCCGCCACUUCGUGAGGGAUCUCACAUCACCCCACCGUGAGGGGCUCACAUCACCCGCCCUGAGGGAGCUUCCGGCAGUCCACCCUGAGGGGGCACGCACCACCCCGCCGUGAGGGGCUCGCACCACCCCGCCAUGAGGGGGUUCCGCCACUCCGCCGUGAGGAGCUCACACCAUUUCACCCUGAGGGAGCUCACAUCGCCCCUCCGUGAGGGAGCUGACACUACUCCGCCCUGAGGGGCUCACACCGCCCGCCGUGAGGGAGCUGACACUACUCCGCCCUGAGGGGCUCACACCACCGGCCGUGAGGGGCAGGCACUACUCCGCCCUGAGGGAGCUCACACCACCCGCCGUGAGGGGCUCGCACCAUUUCACCCUGAGGGGCUCACACCACCGGCCGUGAGGGAGCUGACACUACUCCGCCCUGAGGGAGCUCACACCGCCCGCCGUGAGGGGCAGGCACCCCGGGCAGGCCUCCCUGGGGCUCCGGCCCAGCCCUGGCCCCUCAGAGCCCCGCGGAGUUUCCCGCCUUCGCCUCGGCGCCGUGAGGGCUCCAGCUCCCUCAGCAUCCGAAAACCCUGCCAGGGGUUUCAGCGCCUCACCGUGAUCACACCCUCGAAGAUUUUCAGCCCGCUCAGCCCUCAGCAUCCUGCGAGAAGAGGAUGUUUGUCAUCUUUUGAUGCCGUGCCAGCAAAGCGCGGAAUUGUGGGAGAGCAAAGCUCCCAAAGUGAUCUCUGCUCUGCAAGUUCCAGAAAGAUCCACGCUCCGAAAAGGACGGGGCAGGAAGUUCAGCUGGCUGGGGGAAAAGCAGCUCCAGACACAACGGGACCUUUAUCAGCUUGAACUUCAUCUCCGCCCCAGAAAAGCUGCACCCGGCGCAGCCCUGCCAGAGGAAACUUCCAGAAGGUCUUCAUUUGGGGACUUGGAGCUUCCAGGGGCUGCACUCUCAUCCCAGUUGGAACUUUAUCUCCAGCCUGAAAUGAUUUGGCUGUGGACGUCAGUGCCUUCCUGCAGGAUUAAGGGAUCCUCUCCGUUGGCAGGAGGAUCCCUCAUUCCCAGGAAACUCGAGGCAGAAGUUCUGAGGUGGCCACCUCGUGGGAAGUUCAGGAUUCACUGGACAGGCCUGGAAUCCCCCAUGGACUGAGGAAACACCAGGGAGCUGGGAUGUUCCCGUGCUCUGUGGCCUCCGCGAGGUGCUGGAGUGGGGUGAGUGCAGCAGAACAGGGGGAAACCCCAAAAAUUGUGAUUUUUUGGAUCCAGUGAAGGAAAAGAAGUUUUUACCCUUGAAUUUUGUGGCAAAAGGGGUAAAUCCAGUGGCUGGUAAUUUGGGAUUCACAAACCUGGCGCAGGAAAAGCCCUCAGAGCAUCCCAAAAAAAUCCUGCCAGGAAUGGUGUGGACUUACUCCGAGGUGAGCCGGGAAUUCCUCCUGGGAGUAAGGAGAGCCCAAACCUGGCUGCUGGAGAAUCGUGACUCAAAUUGAGUGUGGCACACACAAAAAAAGCCAAUUCUUGACUGGAUGUGCUUCCUGGGAAUGCCACGAAGUCAAGUAUCUGAUUAAGUUCAAGAGAAUUACAUUUUCCGUGCUCCAGCGAGAGGCGCGGGCCCUUUGGAAAAUCAUAACGAGCCGCCCUCAUUUGCAUCCCUCUGAUAAAUGGCUGUAACCAGAUGAGGGAGAUAAAAGGAGCAGUCUAUUAAUUACAGUGAUUAUUAUUUAAUAGAAAACGGGACGGUGGCUGGCGAGAGGGAGGCUCGGCCAUGCAUUAUGUGGUUUAUCUUGGGGAGGAAGAUAAGUGUCCGGCUCUUCCUCAGCCCAAGGAAUGUGUUCAUUACCUGGGCAAGAUUUAUUAGCAUAAUUGAGGGGAAUAUUUGAGAACUCUCCGCUUUCUUUGGUGGGCGAGGCGGGGUUAAUUAAGCUGGGUAAAUGAAGUUAUGGUGUCAGGGAAAUGCAAAGUUUGGGAGCUGGAAAAAGCUGGAGUGGGGUGCUGUUAUGGCCAGAAUUUUGGGGCUGCCUGGUGGAAAUCAAAAACUGAGAGGCCGGAGGGGCCAGGACAAACCUCAGAUGGAUCUGGGAUCCUCAGGAUGGGGCAGACCUGGAGGGGCUAGGAGGGGAUGGGAAUGGGAUGGG
Long non-coding RNA from Passer domesticus (house sparrow), 3924 nucleotides. RefSeq lists it as uncharacterized. The transcript has 6 exons. NCBI's taxonomy places the organism in Eukaryota, Metazoa, Chordata, Aves, Passeriformes, Passeridae. The record is from RefSeq and is a predicted model, not a curated record.